RNAcentral lists this long non-coding RNA (551 nucleotides) under Olea europaea (common olive). Its description in RNAcentral is "long non-coding RNA (OEUR_LNC011433)". Lineage: Eukaryota; Viridiplantae; Streptophyta; Magnoliopsida; Lamiales; Oleaceae. The record is from RNAcentral.
UUACCCCAAAAUCAAAAUCACCUCAGCCCAAUUGUCGAUCGUCAACACCACCGCGGUUGCCUCUCUCUGUCCACUUCCUUUGAACGAUCGCCAUAAAACUCCUCCAGCCCACCAAUAUCACUCCCCAUUGUCCACACCUUAGUCACACCUAGCGUCGACUCCUCCUUCAUCGACCUGUUAUAAACAACCAUCGGCAACAUCCCAGCCCACUCUUUCCCUGAAAAUCAAAAUUUUUGGACUGCAGCAGAUAUGCUGGAACUUCCCAUUGACAACCACAGGCAUAGACGACAAAUCAAUAUUCUCCGACGUGGGUUUUUCAAAAUGGGGCCAUGGCUUCUGUUCCUUGCCUCCGAAAACUAGAGAUAACAUUGACAUUUCUGUUUGAAAAUAUGGAUCAUUGGAGCGGAGGGGUGAUCCAAAACGAAGGUGGGAGUGGAAAAAGUCCACCUGACUCGUUGUUGACUCGGUGUUGGAUAUUGAUAUGUGGUUGUUGCUACUUGUCAUAAUUUUCUUGUUGUGAUUACUCUGUUUCCCAUUCUGUGAACUAUUGC